AAUAAAUAAACAAACAAAUAAAAAGCCACCAGGAUUAAAUCAAGGCAAUUUUACACCACUACUGAAACAUUAUUGACAAGUUUAGCAAAAUCCAUCCUCGUGAUUCAGUGUAGCAAGAAAGCCAACAAUUCUGUGAUAGUGUAGUACAAAGGAUGAAUUCAAUGACACAUAAAUUGGUGUCACAUUGCGAAAAUUAGAGAACCUUAUGCACUGAAUUAAACCUAGCAAAUAUUUUACCAAUGCAUUGUGCAAGAAUAGCCCCUGGGGUUCAAUCAGAAUGAAAAAAUAGGCAGCCAGCUAAACCAAGAAUAUAGUGACUUAUUGCAGCCACUGCAAGUGAAUGAACCUUAAGUGAUACACAAGCACUCACGAAAUAAAUGCCAUUCUGUGUACAUGCAUGCCCAUGCACACAGAGACUACUAAGAUUUCCAUUUACCAAAUAUAGCCUUUUAACAAACAUAUACAGAUUCAUCGCGCCAAAUGCCAGAGAUCAAGAAACAUCAU
RNAcentral lists this unclassified non-coding RNA (504 nucleotides) under Hevea brasiliensis (rubber tree). The record is from RNAcentral. Lineage: Eukaryota; Viridiplantae; Streptophyta; Magnoliopsida; Malpighiales; Euphorbiaceae.